AGAGUUUGAUCAUGGCUCAGAUUGAACGCUGGCGGCAUGCCUUACACAUGCAAGUCGAACGGCAGCGCGGGGGCAACCCUGGCGGCGAGUGGCGAACGGGUGAGUAAUAUAUCGGAACGUGCCCUGGAGUGGGGGAUAACGCAGCGAAAGUUGCGCUAAUACCGCAUACGAUCUAAGGAUGAAAGUGGGGGAUCGCAAGACCUCAUGCUCCUGGAGCGGCCGAUAUCUGAUUAGCUAGUUGGUGGGGUAAGAGCCCACCAAGGCGACGAUCAGUAGCUGGUCUGAGAGGACGACCAGCCACACUGGGACUGAGACACGGCCCAGACUCCUACGGGAGGCAGCAGUGGGGAAUUUUGGACAAUGGGGGCAACCCUGAUCCAGCAAUGCCGCGUGAGUGAAGAAGGCCUUCGGGUUGUAAAGCUCUUUUGUCCGGGAAGAAACGGUCCUUUCUAAUACAGAGGGCUAAUGACGGUACCGGAAGAAUAAGCACCGGCUAACUACGUGCCAGCAGCCGCGGUGAUACGUAGGGUGCAAGCGUUAAUCGGAAUUACUGGGCGUAAAGCGUGCGCAGGCGGUUGUGCAAGACAGAUGUGAAAUCCCCGGGCUCAACCUGGGAAUUGCAUUUGUGACUGCACGGCUAGAGUGUGU
RNAcentral lists this ribosomal RNA (648 nucleotides) under uncultured Oxalobacteraceae bacterium. RNAcentral describes it as "bacterial SSU rRNA". It matches the Rfam family "Bacterial small subunit ribosomal RNA", at positions 8 to 651 of the family's 1533-position model. The record is from RNAcentral. Lineage: Bacteria; Pseudomonadati; Pseudomonadota; Betaproteobacteria; Burkholderiales; Oxalobacteraceae.